This 153-nucleotide microRNA precursor is filed under the name Morus notabilis. The record is from RNAcentral. Lineage: Eukaryota; Viridiplantae; Streptophyta; Magnoliopsida; Rosales; Moraceae.
AGGCUCGUAGUGCAGCCAAGGAUGACUUGCCGGUCCCAUUUUUUCCUAGUACAUUAUUAUGUAACAUGGUCAUCUUUUUAAGUACAUGAGGACUGACUGUGGGACCAGAGUCAAAUCGAUCGGCAAGUCGUCUCUGGCUACGUGACGGCCUGG